ACUCUGAGCAGCGACGCCGCGNUGAGUGAAGAAGUAUUUCGGUAUGUAAAGCUCUGUCAUCUAGGGAAGAAAUUGACGGUACCUGACUAAGAAGCCCCGGCUAACUACGUGCCAACAGACCGCGGUAAUACGUACGGGGCAAGCGUUAUCCGGAUUUACUGGGUGUAAAGGGAGCGUAGGUGGUUUGAUAAGUCAGAUGUGAAAGCCCGGGGCUCAACUCCGGGAUUGCAUUUGAAACUAUCACGCUAGAGUGCAGGAGAGGUAAGUGGAAUUCCUAGUGUAGCGGUGAAAUGCGUAUAUAUUAUGAGGAACACCAGUGGCGAAAGCGGCUUACUGGACUGUAACUGACACUGAAGCUCGAAAGCGUGGGGAGCAAACAAGAUUAGAUACCCUGGUAGUCCACGCCGUAAACAAUGAAUACUAGGUGUCGGGGGUCACAAGACCUCCUGUGCCGCAACUAACGCAAUAAGUAUUCCACCUGGGGAGUACGUUCGCAAGAAUGAAACUCAAG
RNAcentral lists this ribosomal RNA (511 nucleotides) under uncultured bacterium. RNAcentral describes it as "bacterial SSU rRNA". It matches the Rfam family "Bacterial small subunit ribosomal RNA", at positions 380 to 905 of the family's 1533-position model. The record is from RNAcentral.